RNAcentral lists this microRNA precursor (65 nucleotides) under Bactrocera dorsalis (oriental fruit fly). Its description in RNAcentral is "microRNA bdo-mir-304 precursor". Its record names the gene bdo-mir-304. Lineage: Eukaryota; Metazoa; Arthropoda; Insecta; Diptera; Tephritidae. The record is from miRBase by way of RNAcentral.
UAAUCUCAAUUUGUAACUGUGAGCGAAUUCGAUAUGCUGAACUCACGUUGCAUAUGGAGAUUGCC